This 263-nucleotide long non-coding RNA is filed under the name Sorghum bicolor (sorghum). Its description in RNAcentral is "long non-coding RNA (SBIC_LNC017655)". The record is from RNAcentral. Lineage: Eukaryota; Viridiplantae; Streptophyta; Magnoliopsida; Poales; Poaceae.
UUCCCCAAUUCUUUCUAAAUUCAUUUGGACCACUUUAAAAUCAUUUUCACCCUUUUCUCCCAAAAUGAAAGUUGUUUCAAAAUAAAAACCCUACAACUUUGUUUUAAUAAGUAACAUCAAAUUCCAAAUAGAAUUUGAAUUACAAAUUAAAACUAGUUCUAGGUUUUCAAAUAAAUUCAUUUUGGGGAAUUUUGUAUAAAUUCCAUUUCUCAAAUUCUAUGGCUCCAAAAAUUGUACAAAAACAUUCUUAAAUCUUCUUGCAU